AUCACAUUCAAUUUUUACAAAAGGUAAAUAUACUAUUUUACUUACUAAAAUGGAUAUAAAAUAAAAUAAUUUUGUAUGCAUUAAAUAGAGGUUGAAUCAAUUGAAAGAAAUGCUUGGACAACCAACUACACCUUCUGGAGAGAUUACAUCAGUAGAUGGCGAACUUUUGGAUGAAGUUGACAGUUUUGUUAUGGUCACAUCUCCUCAAUUAAAUUCUGGAGGUACUUCAAGUAUUCAAAGUAGUCAAAGCAGUGCACAGGAUUCUGGAUAUAGUGAAAUGGAAAUACAAGAAAUGCUACAAGAUGGAAGUAAACAUUAAGUGCAUUACUUUUUGUCAGUAUGCUAUCCUCUUUAAAGAAAACUUACUUCAGUUAUUAACCCUUAUCAAACAUUCAGUCCUUGACUGAUAUUCAGUUAAUCAACUAUUAAUUGAAUGUUAGUCUUAAUGCAAUUUCCCCAUUUUCCC
This 466-nucleotide long non-coding RNA is filed under the name Androctonus crassicauda. The record is from RNAcentral. Lineage: Eukaryota; Metazoa; Arthropoda; Arachnida; Scorpiones; Buthidae.